This is a non-coding RNA of Paramuricea clavata, 2413 nucleotides long. Lineage: Eukaryota; Metazoa; Cnidaria; Anthozoa; Malacalcyonacea; Plexauridae. The record is from the annotation of a GenBank genome assembly.
AUUUUUUUUUCUCGAUUGUGUGCUGCAUGAUUUUUUUUUUCUUUCUCCUUGGGUUGCAGGAAAUUUUUUUUCGAAAUCUUCCACCCCCCCCCUCAAAAGUCAAAUGGUCCGCCCCUUACAGUAACUCUUGAAAUAUUUUGACUGAAAGCAACCUCACUUGUGACGUAUCAUAUGCAUAUCCCACUGAGCUAUACCACAGAUGAGGUAGAUACAGAUGUGAAUCUUCUGUCAAAUUGCUGAUUGUUUUGUGUCACACGGAAUUCUCACUUCCGGCGAGCGCUGGCAAGUGUCGUUCUGAAAUUUAAUAAGGAAAGAGAUAGGAAAACGCCGUUCGAAAGACGAAAAAUUGUUUUUUUUAAAAAUCUACGCUACCGACGGCUAUUUUUGGAAUUAAUUCUUCAAGAGUAUCGGUAAGCGAUCACUUUUAUUGAUUUCUUUUUAUUAAAAGUGAUAACAUAACAUUUUAUUUAGCAAAAGUUUGUUUUUUUCCCUAUCUAUUCCUUAUUAAAAUCGUGAAAUACACUUGCUGGGAAUUUCAGAUGCUCAUGUAUAAUAAUAAAACAGCGAAUGAUAUAAAUUCCUCAAAACAUAACUCUGGCAUAAAAAAAACAUGAAUACUUCUAUAAUAUGUAUAGUUUUAUUUCUCUGCAUUAUCAAAAUUUAAUAAAAUAGUGAAUUAAUACAAUUUUAAAGUUUAUUUAAUCGGUGUGACAUAAUUUGCCGUGAGAUUCACAUCUGUAUUUACCUCAUCUGUGGCUAUACUAUAUUACUGGAGGACCUGCUCGGCAUCAAGAGGUGAAGCCAAAAACAUGGCGGAUUUUCACGUUUGCUGACGCCAGAAUGACGCCACUGGUCCCAAAUCCUCGUGGUAAUUACCACUGACCAACCGCGAUCCUCGGUUUCAGACGACAAUUUCACCCCCCUGGUUUUUGCACAAAAAAGCUGAAACUCUGCUGAAAAUUUAUAUAAACGUCAUAAAAAACAUCAAGAAAAAAUGCCGAGUUUUUGCAUGGCUUCAUGAUGCCACAAUUCUUUAAUAUCAAGAAGAGACACUUCUUUUUACCGGUAAGAUGUAUAUUAAACUCUUUCUCUGUGUUUCAUUUGUACUAAAUUCUGUUUUUUAAAAGAAAAAAUUGGAUACGAAAUUUACAAAUAUAACGACGCUGUACAGCAGCUGGUGUUAUUCUGCCUUUAUCACUUUUCGUUGUGUUUUAUUUUGCCAUUUGGGUAGGUUAUAGUUUUUGUUUUCCUCUCGAGUCCUUACCCAAAGAUCCAACAGCCCCAACAUCAAUUUUCACAUACAGUAUUGUAAUAGAAAUGCCUUAAGGCUUAAAAUGAUGGACAAGUGUCAAGUCACAAAUGCCAUGGAGUCAAUAGUCGAACUUAUCCUAGGGUUUUAAUAUAUUGUCAUAGGAGGCCCAAUAUAUGGUUGUAAUGGGCACAAAAAAGAUCAAAACUGUUCCUAACAAGUGUCUCUGUAGGAGUAUAAGUGUUGAAUAAAAGCUUGCAAGGCUCACACUACAAUUUUGAGUUGUGAUUUUAACAGACAAUUUUAAUCUUUUUUCAUGGCUAACAUAGGAGGCAUCUCUGCGAAGGUUCCAAUAGAUAGUUGUACAAGUAAAGUUUUAGUUCAUAUAUAAAAAGGCCAGCAAAUAGACAUGAAUUUUUCUUGACGAAUAUGAAUUUAUGGAUAGUACAUGGGUGGGGAUGCUUAUUUCACAACACUCUAAUUUCUAUGUCUGAAAGAUCGACAUAUUUUAAUAUUUGAAAUGGGAAAAAAAUAAUAUAAUGUUCAAUAGCAUGUAGAUCAAAUUAUAUACAUAAUAUAGUAGAUGACUGAUUGGAUGUAUUCUAUUACACUUUUCCAGAUGCCAAGAAAAAUCCUGAGAUGUGUUGAAAACUUGAAGAAUGCCCUGGUUAAAUUUUAUGCCACAAAGGGAAUCACCUUUGUUCAAAGCAAUUAGUAUAAUAUUCCAUUCAUCCAUCGAGGGGCAGCACUCUCCACUUGAUGAGUAAAAUCAUCUGGCAUUAGACAGAGUAAAAUACUUUGGCAUAAGACAGAGUAAAAUACUAAAAGUAGGGCACAUCAGGGUGCAUUGCCACUUAAUUAAAGGGUUAACUCAUUCAGCAAUCUCCCCUUCACAAAUAAAAUUUGCCAUUAGACAGAAUAAUAAAGUAGGGUGCAUUGUGUUGCAUUCAGACUUAUCAAAGGCUUAACAGGAUGCAUAGGCAUAUACUGGUCAACCCAUAGAGUGCCAGAGCUCUCCCCUUGCAUUGACAAGUAUAUUCGUCUGGCAUUUGAAAGGAAAAUUAUGUGGUGGAUUGCCUGACUUAUCAAAAGGGAUAAUAGGGGCCCACAGCAACUCUCUUGUUCUCUCAGGGGGGGAGGGGGUUAGGUUACACUCACAAAUGC